Molecule: ribosomal RNA, 497 nt
Filed under: uncultured bacterium
Lineage: Bacteria
Description: partial 16S ribosomal RNA
Rfam family: Bacterial small subunit ribosomal RNA
Source: RNAcentral
GAUGAACGCUGGCGGCGUGCCUAAUACAUGCAAGUCGAGCGAACAGACGAGGAGCUUGCUCCUCUGACGUUAGCGGCGGACGGGUGAGUAACACGUGGAUAACCUACCUAUAAGACUGGGAUAACUUCGGGACACCGGAGCUAAUACCGGAUAAUAUAUUGAACCGCAUUGUUCAAUAGUGAAAGACGGUUUUGCUGUCACUUAUAGAUGGAUCCGCGCCGCAUUAGCUAGUUGGUAAGGUAACGGCUUACCAAGGCGACGAUGCGUAGCCGACGUGAGAGAGUGGUCGGCGACACUGGAGCUGAGACACGGUCAAGACUCCUAAGGGAGGCAGCAGUAGGGAAUGUGACGCAAUGGGCGAAAGCCUGACGGAGCAACGGCGCGUGAGUGAUGAAGGUCUUCGGAUCGUAAAACUCGGUUAUGAGGGAAGAACAAAUGUGUAAGUAACUAUGCACGUCUUGACGGUACCUAAUCAGAAAGCCACGGCUAACUACGUG